RNAcentral lists this long non-coding RNA (1002 nucleotides) under Felis catus (domestic cat). RNAcentral's name for it is "lncRNA (ENSFCAG00000053590.1)". The record is from RNAcentral. Lineage: Eukaryota; Metazoa; Chordata; Mammalia; Carnivora; Felidae.
AUGUCCCCAUCUCCUUCGUGGCCCUGCCGUUCCAGACAAGGGGCAUCAGCCAGGAGGGGUGCAUCUCAACGCCACUGGAAGGCAGGUGACAGUACCAGAAGUGCUGACACCCUGGUACCCCCCCCUCCAGCUGCCCGGGAAGUGGGGCGGGGGAGGGGGCUUCAGUCAUUAACUUCCUGGAACCUGGGUCCUCGGCUGUGGGACCGGGACUCACCCCUGCACCUCGGCUGCUCCCUCUGGACCACCGGCCACAUAAACGUCGUGGGUCAUAGCUCACUCACGCGCAACGGCUCGUGGCAACGGAAUCAAGGUGGCGCCUUCUCCUCCCCUCCCACCCAAGGCUCUGCUCGUCUCACCCCAACCCUGCACCACAGACACCGCCACGCACGACAAGCCCACCGCCAGGCCCCACGUGGCCUUUGCUACUUCCCCAAAGUGGGGCCACCAAGGACACUUUUCCUUGUACGUGGGCUUCUGUGUGAGCCGCCGCAACUUGGGGCCUUAACAGUGGUGUUGGGGGGUCUGAGGGUUCGGUCCUGCUCCCCAUUUCUCUGGUGCGGAUUUGCAUAUGGCACCUCCCCUCCCCCAAAGGAGAAGCUCGGUGACAGCAGUGACGGCCACGGUGUCCUCACGGGGAGCCCACUGCAGUGCAGGAUUCUGUGGCCCCUGUCAGGCCCCCGGCUCGUGGCCUCUCCCCCCAGACCCAUGCCUGGGAAGGGAACAGCGGUCGUGGGCCAAAGGCAAGUGGGGGGCUCCUUAUCACAGAGGAGCCAGGGGUCCCUCGGCUGGGCACACGGCAGCGAUGCCGCAGAAGCGGACCUCGCGCAGAGGGCGCCGCCCCCCGUUAACCCAGCCUGGGGACCCCAAGACGCAAAGAACCAUCGCUCCAAUGCAGCGUCACAGGGACAUUGCCCACCUGACGCUCUGGAGCCCCUUCGGGUGGGAGAGCCUGGUCCUCUUUGGCAAAGUCACAGCCAUCCCCACCCCGGUAAGACCCCAGCG